RNAcentral lists this long non-coding RNA (282 nucleotides) under Mytilus galloprovincialis (Mediterranean mussel). The record is from RNAcentral. Lineage: Eukaryota; Metazoa; Mollusca; Bivalvia; Mytilida; Mytilidae.
UGGGGUUCGUGAAGCUAGGUUUUGUUUUCUAUGUUGACUUGUGAAUUGAAGACUGUUGGGUGUCUUUUGGUCGUUUUAAGUUUCGCGUCAUGACAGUUUGUCUUUCACUUAACGUUUAAUUUCCCCUUUGGUAUUUUCAGUUUUUCUUUUGAAAACCUGUGACUUUGAGGCAAACAGUUCAUGUGCAUGUGUUCAGUAAAGUGUGUAUAGUAUUUUAUUUGCCCUUUAAUAUCGUAAACACACAAAUAAAAGGUGUUUGUCUUCAAACUUCUUAUUUAAACA